AGUGAACGCUGGCGGUAGGCCUAACACAUGCAAGUCGAACGGCAGCACAGUAAGAGCUUGCUCUUACGGGUGGCGAGUGGCGGACGGGUGAGGAAUGCAUCGGAAUCUACUUUUUCGUGGGGGAUAACGUAGGGAAACUUACGCUAAUACCGCAUACGACCUACGGGUGAAAGCAGGGGAUCUUCGGACCUUGCGCGAUUGAAUGAGCCGAUGUCGGAUUAGCUAGUUGGCGGGGUAAAUGCCCACCAAGGGGACGAUCCGUAGCUGGUCUGAGAGGAUGAUAAGCCACACUGGAAGUGAGACACGGUCCAGACUCCUACGGGAGGCAGCAGUGGGGAAUAUUGGACAAUGGGCGCAAGCCUGAUCCAGCCAUACCGCGUGGGUGAAGAAGGCCUUCGGGUUGUAAAGCCCUUUUGUUGGGAAAGAAAGGCAGCAGGUUAAUACCCCGCUGUUCUGACGGUACCCAAAGAAUAAGCACCGGCUAACUUCGUG
RNAcentral lists this ribosomal RNA (492 nucleotides) under uncultured bacterium. RNAcentral's name for it is "partial 16S ribosomal RNA". It matches the Rfam family "Bacterial small subunit ribosomal RNA", at positions 29 to 507 of the family's 1533-position model. The record is from RNAcentral.